RNAcentral lists this unclassified non-coding RNA (481 nucleotides) under Hevea brasiliensis (rubber tree). Lineage: Eukaryota; Viridiplantae; Streptophyta; Magnoliopsida; Malpighiales; Euphorbiaceae. The record is from RNAcentral.
UGGACCCUUGAAGAAAACAUCUUCAACAUACUGAAUUAUGGACUCUGCCUCACUGCAUUCAAUGUUACCUGCUAUGUAGCACUCUAGGAAUGCCCUUGAGAGCAUCAUGGGAGUAAACUUUAUAAGAUCUUCAGCUUCAAGAUGAGGAAGAACUUCUAGUUUUUCCAUCCAUGGCCAUUUCUGGUCGCAUAAUACUAAUGAGCAAUAGUAUGUAGCUUGCUCGUUGGGUUGUUGAAACUUGCAAUUUUCAUAGUCCUUUCUUAAAUUUUCCUUAAUCACAGCAAACCUGUCAGGAUUCACAUAAAAUUUUGCAAUUUUUCCAAUGAUAGUUUCCAGCAAGGUCUUCAGUUUGUGAUUAUAACCAUUCAGAGUCACCUGAAAACCACUAGCUGCGAUGUUUAUGUGAUAAUAUAGACCAGCAACACGUGCAUUGUAAGCAUAUUCAUUCAAGUAAUCCUUUAACAAUCGAGUAAAAAUGAUU